Molecule: ribosomal RNA, 442 nt
Filed under: uncultured bacterium
Lineage: Bacteria
Description: partial 16S ribosomal RNA
Rfam family: Bacterial small subunit ribosomal RNA
Source: RNAcentral
CCUACGGGUGGCAGCAGUAGGGAAUCUUUCACAAUGGGCGAAAGCCUGAUGGAGCAACGCCGCGUGCAGGAUGAAGGCCUUCGGGUUGUAAACUGCUUUUAUAAGCGAGGAAUAUGAUGGUAACUUAUGAAUAAGGAUCGGCUAACUACGUGCCAGCAGCAGCGGUCAUACGUAGGAUCCGAGCAUUAUCCGGAGUGACUGGGUGUAAAGAGUUGCGUAGGUGGCAUAAUAAGUAGCUAGUGAAAUCUGGUGGCUCAACCAUUCAGACUAUUAGCUAAACUGUUAAGCUCGAGACCGUUAGGGGUAACUGGAAUUUCUAGUGUAGGAGUGAAAUCCGUAGAUAUUAGAAGGAACACCGAUAGCGUAGGCAGGUUGCUGGGACGGUUCUGACACUAAGGCACGAAAGCGUAGGGAGCAAACGGGAUUAGAUACCCUAGUAGUC